GGGGUUGUGGCUCAGCGGUAGAGUGUUCGCCUACCAUGUGCAAGGCUCUGGGUUCGAUCCUCAUAACCACA
This 71-nucleotide transfer RNA is filed under the name Marmota monax (woodchuck). RNAcentral's name for it is "tRNA.Gly". The record is from RNAcentral. Lineage: Eukaryota; Metazoa; Chordata; Mammalia; Rodentia; Sciuridae.